RNAcentral lists this ribosomal RNA (450 nucleotides) under uncultured bacterium. RNAcentral's name for it is "partial 16S ribosomal RNA". It matches the Rfam family "Bacterial small subunit ribosomal RNA", at positions 354 to 796 of the family's 1533-position model. The record is from RNAcentral.
GUGAGGAAUAUUGGGCAAUGGGCGAAAGCCUGACCCAGCCACGCCGCGUGAGUGAUGAAGGCCUUCGGGUUGUAAAGCUCUGUGGGGAGGGAAGAAAAAGCGGGAGAGUAACUGCUCUCGUGUUGACGGUACCUCCUUAGCAAGCACCGGCUAACUCUGUGCCAGCAGCCGCGGUAAUACAGAGGGUGCAAACGUUGCUCGGAAUUACUGGGCGUAAAGCGCGUGUAGACUGACAUGCAAGUCGGGUGUGAAAUCCCAGGGCUCAACCUUGGAACUGCACUCGAAACUGCACGUCUUGAGUACUGGAGAUGGAAGCGGAAUUCCGGGUGUAGAGGUGAAAUUCGUAGAUAUCCGGAGGAACACCAGUGGCGAAGGCGGCUUCCUGGACAGUAACUGACGCUGAGACGCGAAAGCGUGGGGUGCAAACAGGAUUAGAUACCCGAGUAGUCC